CCUUACCCGCCGCCACGUCCUGAGCCGCCCAUCUAUGCCGCCGCCGACGACGGCCUGGCUCCUCCUCCACCCAUGCGCCCCCUCCCAAUCUCCAUAGCCUCCAACAACCAACUCCAUCUCCUGCCUCCUGCAACUAGUCCUGCCAGUGCGCCGCGUCCGCCGCCAGUGAAUGCCGUCCGCAAGGACUGCCCCUGGCCCCUCUGCUCCGGCGCUCCUCGGUCGUCCCCGGCCCUUUGCCUGGUCGCUAGGGACGUGCUGCUCCACGCCUGCUCCUGCCGGUGGCCGCCGCCUGCCGCGCCGGCUCUGGCGCUUUGCUCCUGCCAAUCCCGGGCUGCUCGCCUGCUCGGCCGGACUCUGCCGCCCAGGACAGGACUUGCUGUCAACAAACAGCAAGCAGGCUGGGACAGGGAAAAAGAAGAGGAAGAUAUAUUUCAUUGCAAGUUUCAACACCCAGUGUUUCAGUUGGACUGAAUCAACUCCACAAAUUGGAACAACCAUAGAUUGGACCACCGCCUUUGGCUUCAAACAACCCGCCUUCAAUCUCAACUCGAGAAAGUACCUCUUUUGUAUCCCAUACUCUUUUCUUGAAGUUUUUGGCAUGUUUUUAUCUAUUUUGUUGUAUCAUUAAGAAUUGAGUUUAAAUUCUAGAGAGACAUACCAUUUGUCCAGAAGUAUCAAGCAUUGGAUGUAAAGUGGACAACCUAUUCGGUACUGAAACAAUAUAUGUAGCAUGUAUGAAGCUGAAUCAUGCUUAUAACACUGAAGAGCACAGUAACUUCCAUAAUGCAAGUAAGUAGCUGCAAUCUUCCAGGAUUUUUUAUAAAUAAAUCAGCAACAUGCCACUCACCUAAGUUGUCUUUUCAGCGUAUCCUACCAUGCGCCAAUGAGGCAAGUGGUAGUGUAUCCUAAAAAUCCCCUUUUCCUGAAGGUGUAAACACAUGCAGCAACUGAUCGUGUGCAUUAGAAUGCACUGUUUGAUAAUUACUCUCUUAGGCCCUGCUUGCUAACUUUGUAAAAAUAUGCGACCGGCUACCCUUCAACAAUUGCAAGUCACUUGGGGACUGUUUGGUUUCCAGCCAAAUGUUGCCAGACCUAUGGUUAGGCACACAUAAUUUCUGAGGUGAGUGAGUGUUCGGUUGGCUGACACAGUUGUGGCUUGCGACUUUACUAGUCACAUGAUUAAGGAGUAUAUUUUGGCCACACUUUUGUGGCAAGCCACACUCUGUCCUGAGGGGUAACAAUUACUACUUUUGGCUUAGUUGUGGCAAAGUAAGCUUUUAACCAAACUAGGGUGUUAAAUUGGUCUUAAGUUUCAAUCUAGUAUUGUAGAUCAUCACAUAUGUUCUCUGUUUCUUGUUCAAUGAUGUCUUAUCUGACUUGUUAAUCAGUCCAACUUAAUAUCCCUUUUCCUGUUAUCCUUAGAACAAAUAGAUAUGACGUGUAUGCAGUGCAGCCCACUAAUUAUUUAGAUUGCAUUGCAAACGCCCUUUUAUACAUGCUUUUCAUUUUUCAUUCAGGUGGCUGCACAUAUCCUCCAGGUUUCUGUAAUUGGGAAGGAGUGUAUUUCCAGGCGAUGGAUCGAGGUUGGAUGAGUCAACCAAGAGCUAGUGCUGCUUACAAAGAUGGUGUCGAACAAUUUCUGUCUUUUGCAUUCCAUGAUGUUCCAGCUGGUGAUAGAAUUCUCUGUCCUUGUGUAAAUUGCCGAAAUAAAGCUAUGCAGAGUUAUGAUGGAGUGAAAACUCACUUGAGAUGUGAUGGUAUUCUUCAAGGUUACACUAAGUGGGUUUGCCAUGGAGAGGAUUACAGUGAACCAUCAUUUGCAUUUGCUCAUGUAUCAGAUAACAGUGGCAAUUUUUCUAUUCCUGGCAUCCCAAGGAAUGUUGUUGGAGAAGGCAACCAUGGAAGGAUGGAUGACAUGCCAGGACUCUUAAGUGCUGUCUUUGCUAUGGCUAACAGUUGUGAAUCUUUAUCAAGCACAUCUGAUGGUGAAUUAGAUGCGUUGAAUUUGAGAAUAUGGUACCUAAUUCAGUUGAGGAUGAGAAUGCAGAUGCUCAAACAAGGAAGAAACCUAAUACGUAUGCAAGCUUCUUGGAGGAUGCAAACACAGAGUUAUACCCUGGAUGUAAAGCAUUUUCUAAGUUGUCAUUUCUCAUCACCUUGUAUCACAUGAAAUGCUUACAUGGAUGGUCACAAGAAUCA
Triticum aestivum (bread wheat) is the source of this 2199-nucleotide RNA transcript. RefSeq lists it as uncharacterized. Lineage: Eukaryota; Viridiplantae; Streptophyta; Magnoliopsida; Poales; Poaceae. The transcript has 3 exons. The record is from RefSeq and is a predicted model, not a curated record.